This 258-nucleotide long non-coding RNA is filed under the name Mytilus galloprovincialis (Mediterranean mussel). Lineage: Eukaryota; Metazoa; Mollusca; Bivalvia; Mytilida; Mytilidae. The record is from RNAcentral.
AUAUGCUGAAUCUAACCAUGUAUUUAGAUUUUGGAUAUUGGACCAUAAUAGGUAAAUGUUUAAUUUAAAAUUUUUAAGUUUAAGUUCUUAGACCACAUUCAUUGUGUGUCAGAAACCUUUGUUGUGUCAACUAUUUAAUCACAAUCCAAAUUCAGAGCCGUAUCAAGCUUACAUGUUGUGUUCAUACUUGCCCCAACUGUUCAGGGUUCGAUCUCUGCGGUCGUAUAAAGCUGCGCCCUGCGGAGCAUCUGGUUGUAU